Molecule: transfer RNA, 74 nt
Filed under: Paenibacillus peoriae
Lineage: Bacteria; Bacillati; Bacillota; Bacilli; Caryophanales; Paenibacillaceae
Description: tRNA-Pro
Rfam family: tRNA
About the family: Transfer RNA (tRNA) molecules are approximately 80 nucleotides in length. Their secondary structure includes four short double-helical elements and three loops (D, anti-codon, and T loops).
Source: RNAcentral
CGGGAUGUAGCUCAGUUUGGUAGAGCGCUUGGUUUGGGACCUGGGGAUUGCAUGUUCAAAUCGUGUUGUCCCAA